GAUGAAGAACGUAGCGAAAUGCGAUAAGUAGUGUGAAUUGCAGAAUUCAGUGAAUCAUCGAAUCUUUGUACGCACAUUGCGCCCUUUGGUAUUCCUUAGGGCAUGCCUGUUCGAGCGUCAUUUAAACCUUCAAGCUCAGCUUGGUGUUGGGUGACUGUCCGCUUCACCGCGGACUCGCCUCAAAAUUAUUGGCGGCCGGUACAUUGGCUUCGAGCGCAGCAGAAACGCGAACUCGGGCCCGUCGUAUUGGCUCCCAGAAGCUAUCUUCACAAUUUUGACCUCGGAUCAGGUAGGGAUACCCGCUGAACUUAAGCAUAUCAAUAAGCGGAGGA
Molecule: unclassified non-coding RNA, 332 nt
Filed under: soil metagenome
Description: partial contains 5.8S ribosomal RNA, internal transcribed spacer 2, and large subunit ribosomal RNA
Rfam family: 5.8S ribosomal RNA (bases 1-120)
Source: RNAcentral